RNAcentral lists this ribosomal RNA (255 nucleotides) under uncultured bacterium. RNAcentral describes it as "partial 16S ribosomal RNA". It matches the Rfam family "Bacterial small subunit ribosomal RNA", at positions 524 to 776 of the family's 1533-position model. The record is from RNAcentral.
UACGUAGGGUGCGAGCGUUGCCCGGAUUUAUUGGGCGUAAAGGGCGCGUAGGCGGCCACGCACGUCCGUUGUGAAAUCGCCCGGCUCAACUGGGCGGGGUCAGCGGAUACGGUGUGGCUCGAGCAAGCUAGGGGGCAAUGGAAUUCCCGGUGUAGUGGUGGAAUGCGUAGAUAUCGGGAGGAACACCAGUGGCGAAGGCGGUUGCCUGGAGCUUUGCUGACGCUGAGGCGCGAAAAGCGUGGGGGAGCGAUCCGG